Molecule: long non-coding RNA, 410 nt
Organism: Hirundo rustica (Barn swallow)
Lineage: Eukaryota; Metazoa; Chordata; Aves; Passeriformes; Hirundinidae
Exons: 3
Source: RefSeq, a predicted model, not a curated record
UGUUAGAUGAAAUGCUAUCAGUCUUACUCCUCGAGAUCGUGGAAUAAUCUUGAGAAGGAAGCUCUGCAGUCAUCGGUACAGUCCCCUCCUCAGAGCAGGCUGCAUGAACCUGGCAAAGAACGGUUCCCAUUUCCACAGUCAAGCGUCGGUUAUCAUUGAAAACUUCAGAUGGAUCCCAAAAUCCUGGAGGAUGGAACAUUCUGCAGAGCCAGGAGUAAGGGAAGGAUACCUGCAGCACAGUCAGCCCUCUGUGAGAUCUGUGGGCUUUAAGGACGGAUUCCUUUUAAACGAAACAACACACGGGGCUUCUGCUAACAAACCAGCAUGGCCUCAAUGACGUGUCCAUAAAUACAUGCAAGUCUGGACCUGUUCAACCACGUGUCUCUGUAGGAUCACCACCAGCUGGCAGA